GUUAGAACAUUAUGACUUUUUUUGCACCACGAAAUAUCUGCGCGAAGAGGAACGCAAAGAGUUUAUAAAAAACUAAACAUAGAAAUUUCAUUGCACGAAAGCACGACGAGUUUCUUAUUUGCCUUCUGCAUCUUUGUCCGCAGAAAUACGAUCAUCGUGAAUGGUACGUACUUUUUAUCUCUCGCAUCCGGAGAUGCGUUUCCAUGACAUUGCGGAAACUCGUAAAAGAGACACGCGCACGUCGCGAACGCGUCAGGAACUUUUUUUAUCGCUUCCGUGCAACGUGCAACACUGCAGAUUGCGAUUGCGUUGCAGAAACGUAAAUGUCGAUUACGAAGACGUAUUUUUAUUUUGCUCGCGUCAUUCUUUACGAUAAUAUUUUAUUUUUCGACCGAUAUCGCAUGCAAUGAUAAUACUAUUUGCGUCAUAAAUACAUUAUCUUUCAUUUUAAUUCACGUUUCUGGCAACAAAACGAUGUACUUACAACCGUUUCAUUUCUCUACAAGCGAACGCGCAGUCGGCAGGGAAACAACGAUGAGAUAACGAUUCGGGUGAGGAUGAGGAGGGAACGAGAGUAGAGAAGUCAAGGAGCAGAUCCGCCAGGCACACAAAGAGACGAGAACAGACACGGAGAAAGCGUGGAUAAGGGAGGACAGGGGAAGUUGUCGGAUCAAAUGAAAGGAAAAUAUUGUAUUUUUUAUGAGGGGGUCGUUCGGGAGACAGGUUCGGGGAAAACUUGUGCGAGAGAACGAAACCGCUGGACCGGCAGGGAAGCGAGGAGAAGAUGGAAAAUAAGGUCGUUGCUGAAAAGAAGAUCAAAGUUGGAAUGUGUCGACGAUUUGCAAAAAGAUAGGGUGCUCUCCGAGUGCUUUAUUACACGGCGACAGGCUUUCAACAACGCUCAAGAAGCCCGCGGUUGCAAUCAGGGCUUUAAUGUAAAUGUAAAUCCGCAGGCAGUACAUCCGGUCAUCCGGAUUUUGUAAUCUCGUCCGGAGGACUUGUGUGGAGUGUAUAUAGUGCUUUUGAUAAUAUUUUUUUCCCCGUGAAACGAUCGUGUGUCUUACGCGGCCUGAGUUGAAGGCAAUUAAGCUCGCUCGUCGCAGAAAAUAAGCAUCGAAGAAAAAUAAAAUCGUGCAAGCCCGAAAUUGCUGAAUAUCAAUCCAAGGCAGGAUUUAUGCACAUAAUAAAAUCUUCUCUGAGUCUUUCGCACGUAUGUGCGCAGAAAUUCUCGAGAAAUCUCAAUGAAAUAUUAAAAGCGAACAAAUGUAUCUGUGAUUCAUAAAGAAUGAUAUAUGAUUUCGGCUCCACCAUGUACUUCAUAAGACAUAAAAAGAAGUUUCUUACAAUGAAAUCAAUUAAUGUGUUAAAACGAAAAUGUUAAUGAAUAUAAUAUCUGUUGAAUAAAGUGGAUUUAACAAGUGUGCGCAACGAU
This is a long non-coding RNA of Pogonomyrmex barbatus (red harvester ant), 1432 nucleotides long. The record is from RefSeq and is a predicted model, not a curated record. Lineage: Eukaryota; Metazoa; Arthropoda; Insecta; Hymenoptera; Formicidae.